RNAcentral lists this ribosomal RNA (445 nucleotides) under uncultured bacterium. Its description in RNAcentral is "partial 16S ribosomal RNA". It matches the Rfam family "Bacterial small subunit ribosomal RNA", at positions 354 to 796 of the family's 1533-position model. The record is from RNAcentral.
GUGAGGAAUAUUGCGCAAUGGAGGCAACUCUGACGCAGCCAUGCCGCGUGCAGGAAGAAGGCGCUACGCGUUGUAAACUGCUUUUAACCGGGAAGAAACCCCAGGACGUGUCCUGGGUUGACGGUACCGGAGGAAUAAGCACCGGCUAACUUCGUGCCAGCAGCCGCGGUAAUACGAAGGGUGCAAGCGUUAUCCGGAUUCAUUGGGUUUAAAGGGUGCGUAGGCGGAGCGUUAAGUCAGUGGUGAAAUCCUGCAGCUUAACUGUAGACUUGCCAUUGAUACUGGCGAUCUUGAGUGCGCUUGAAGUGGGCGGAAUGUGCCGUGUAGCGGUGAAAUGCUUAGAUAUGGCACAGAACACCAAUUGCGAAGGCAGCUCACUAAGGCGAUACUGACGCUGAGGCACGAAAGCGUGGGGAUCGAACAGGAUUAGAAACCCUGGUAGUCC